This 497-nucleotide ribosomal RNA is filed under the name uncultured bacterium. RNAcentral's name for it is "partial 16S ribosomal RNA". It matches the Rfam family "Bacterial small subunit ribosomal RNA", at positions 28 to 507 of the family's 1533-position model. The record is from RNAcentral.
GAUGAACGCUGGCGGCGUGCCUAAUACAUGCAAGUCGAGCGAACAGACGAGGAGCUUUCUCCUCUGACGUUAGCGGCGGACGGGUGAGUAACACGUGGAUAACCUACCUAUAAGACUGGGAUAACUUCGGGAAACCGGAGCUAAUACCGGAUAAUAUAUUGAACCGCAUGGUUCAAUAGUGAAAGACGGUUUUGCUGUCACUUAUAGAUGGAUCCGCGCCGCAUUAGCUAGUUGGUAAGGUAACGGCUUACCAAGGCAACGAUGCGUAGCCGACCUGAGAGGGUCGUCGGCCACCCUGGAAUUGAGACACGCUCCAGACUCCUACGGGAGGCAGCAGUAGGGACUCUUCCGCAAUGGGGCAGAGCCUGACGGAGCAACGCCGCGUGAGUGCUGAAGGUCUUCGGAUCGUAAAACUCUGUUAUUAGGGAAGAACAAAUGUGUAAGUAACUAUGCACGUCUUGACGGUACCUAAUCAGAAAGCCCCGGCUAACUACGUG